RNAcentral lists this ribosomal RNA (468 nucleotides) under uncultured bacterium. Its description in RNAcentral is "partial 16S ribosomal RNA". It matches the Rfam family "Bacterial small subunit ribosomal RNA", at positions 28 to 507 of the family's 1533-position model. The record is from RNAcentral.
GACGAACGCUGGCGGCGGGCUUAACACAUGCAAGUCGAACGGAAAGGCCCUGCUUUUGUGGGGUGCUCGAGUGGCGAACGGGUGAGUAACACGUGAGUAACCUGCCCUUGACUUUGGGAUAACUUCAGGAAACUGGGGCUAAUAUCGGAUAGGAGCCCCCGUUGCAUGGUGGGGGUUGGAAAGUUUCGGCGGUUGGGGAUGGACUCGCGGCUUAUCAGCUUGUUGGUGGGGUAGUGGCUUACCAAGGCUUUGACGGGUAGCCGGCUUGUGAGGGUGACCGGGCACCUUAGGCCUGCGAUACGGCCCAGACUCCUACGGGAGGCAGCAGUGGGGAAUAUUGCACAAUGAGCGGAAGCCUGAUGAAGAAGCGCCGCGUGCGGGAUGACGGCCUUCGGGUUGUAAACCGCUUUCGCCUGUGACGAAGCGUGAGUGACGGUAAUGGGUAAAGAAGCACCGGCUAACUACGUG